Molecule: ribosomal RNA, 1026 nt
Filed under: Pediococcus pentosaceus
Lineage: Bacteria; Bacillati; Bacillota; Bacilli; Lactobacillales; Lactobacillaceae
Description: bacterial SSU rRNA
Rfam family: Bacterial small subunit ribosomal RNA
Source: RNAcentral
UAAUGAUUAUGACGUACUUGUACUGAUUGAGAUUUUAACACGAAGUGAGUGGCGAACGGGUGAGUAACACGUGGGUAACCUGCCCAGAAGUAGGGGAUAACACCUGGAAACAGAUGCUAAUACCGUAUAACAGAGAAAACCGCAUGGUUUUCUUUUAAAAGAUGGCUCUGCUAUCACUUCUGGAUGGACCCGCGGCGUAUUAGCUAGUUGGUGAGGUAAAGGCUCACCAAGGCAGUGAUACGUAGCCGACCUGAGAGGGUAAUCGGCCACAUUGGGACUGAGACACGGCCCAGACUCCUACGGGAGGCAGCAGUAGGGAAUCUUCCACAAUGGACGCAAGUCUGAUGGAGCAACGCCGCGUGAGUGAAGAAGGGUUUCGGCUCGUAAAGCUCUGUUGUUAAAGAAGAACGUGGGUAAGAGUAACUGUUUACCCAGUGACGGUAUUUAACCAGAAAGCCACGGCUAACUACGUGCCAGCAGCCGCGGUAAUACGUAGGUGGCAAGCGUUAUCCGGAUUUAUUGGGCGUAAAGCGAGCGCAGGCGGUCUUUUAAGUCUAAUGUGAAAGCCUUCGGCUCAACCGAAGAAGUGCAUUGGAAACUGGGAGACUUGAGUGCAGAAGAGGACAGUGGAACUCCAUGUGUAGCGGUGAAAUGCGUAGAUAUAUGGAAGAACACCAGUGGCGAAGGCGGCUGUCUGGUCUGCAACUGACGCUGAGGCUCGAAAGCAUGGGUAGCGAACAGGAUUAGAUACCCUGGUAGUCCAUGCCGUAAACGAUGAUUACUAAGUGUUGGAGGGUUUCCGCCCUUCAGUGCUGCAGCUAACGCAUUAAGUAAUCCGCCUGGGGAGUACGACCGCAAGGUUGAAACUCAAAAGAAUUGACGGGGGCCCGCACAAGCGGUGGAGCAUGUGGUUUAAUUCGAAGCUACGCGAAGAACCUUACCAGGUCUUGACAUCUUCUGACAGUCUAAGAGAUUAGAGGUUCCCUUCGGGGACAGAAUGACAGGUGGUGCAUGGUGUCGUCAGCU